GACGAACGCUGGCGGCGCGCCUAACACAUUGCAAGUCGAACGAGCGAGAGAGAGUUUACUUUUUUCGAGCGAGUUGGCGAACGGGUGAGUAACGCGUGAGGAACCUGCCUCAAAGAGGGGGACAACAGUUGGAAACGACUGCUAAUACCGCAUAAGCCCACGGCUCGGCAUCGAGCAGAGGGAAAAGGAGCAAUCCGCUUUGAGAUGGCCUCGCGUCCGAUUAGCUAGUUGGUGAGGUAACGGCCCACCAAGGCGACGAUCGGUAGCCGGACUGAGAGGUUGAACGGCCACAUUGGGACUGAGACACGGCCCAGACUCCUACGGGAGGCAGCAGUGGGGAAUAUUGCACAAUGGGGGAAACCCUGAUGCAGCGACGCCGCGUGGAGGAAGAAGGUCUUCGGAUUGUAAACUCCUGUUGUUGAGGAAGAUAAUGACGGUACUCAACAAGGAAGUGACGGCUAACUACGUGCCAGCAGCCGCGGUAAAACGUAGGUCACAAGCGUUGUCCGGAAUUACUGGGUGUAAAGGGAGCGCAGGCGGGAAGACAAGUUGGAAGUGAAAUCCAUGGGCUCAACCCAUGAACUGCUUUCAAAACUGUUUUUCUUGAGUAGUGCAGAGGUAGGCGGAAUUCCCGGUGUAGCGGUGGAAUGCGUAGAUAUCGGGAGGAACACCAGUGGCGAAGGCGGCCUACUGGGCACCAACUGACGCUGAGGCUCGAAAGUGUGGGUAGCAAACAGGAUUAGAUACCCUGGUAGUCCACACCGUAAACGAUGAUUACUAGGUGUUGGAGGAUUGACCCCUUCAGUGCCGCAGUUAACACAAUAAGUAAUCCACCUGGGGAGUACGACCGCAAGGUUGAAACUCAAAGGAAUUGACGGGGGCCCGCACAAGCAGUGGAGUAUGUGGUUUAAUUCGACGCAACGCGAAGAACCUUACCAAGUCUUGACAUCCUGCGACGCACAUAGAAAUAUGUGUUUCCUUCGGGACGCAGAGACAGGUGGUGCAUGGUUGUCGUCAGCUCGUGUCGUGAGAUGUUGGGUUAAGUCCCGCAACGAGCGCAACCCUUAUGGUCAGUUACUACGCAAGAGGACUCUGGCCAGACUGCCGUUGACAAAACGGAGGAAGGUGGGGAUGACGUCGAAUCAUCAUGCCCUUUAUGACUUGGGCUACACACGUACUACAAUGGCGUUAAACAAAGAGAAGCAAGACCGCGAGGUGGAGCAAAACUCAGAAACAACGUCCCAGUUCGGACUGCAGGCUGCAACUCGCCUGCACGAAGUCGGAAUUGCUAGUAAUCGCAGAUCAGCAUGCUGCGGUGAAUACGUUCCCGGGCCU
Molecule: ribosomal RNA, 1335 nt
Filed under: uncultured bacterium
Lineage: Bacteria
Description: bacterial SSU rRNA
Rfam family: Bacterial small subunit ribosomal RNA
Source: RNAcentral